Molecule: non-coding RNA, 1156 nt
Organism: Meleagris gallopavo (turkey)
Lineage: Eukaryota; Metazoa; Chordata; Aves; Galliformes; Phasianidae
Source: RefSeq, a predicted model, not a curated record
GGGAAUCAUCUCUACUUGGAGACUGUCUCCUUUGGAAGUUUCUAGGGAGCCUUGGUCCUGAAAAAUGGCUGCAUGAAGUGAAUUAGCCUGGCUAAAAAAGGAGUUGAAAAUAGAUCACUGGAGCCAACUGAAGCAGCCUGUCCCAGACACAUUGCAAGUUGAACUUGUAUUUCCAAAGUGGCAAAAAGAGAAGGCUUUCAGGGGUUGCAUGGGUUUGGCUGUCACUUAGAACAAAGUGUCCUUUGUCACCCCAUUUUUAUUGACUUGUCUCCCUAUGGAAAAGAAGAGGAAAAGAAGAUGACCGCAGUGAUGUGGCAAAGAAGGUCAUUCCCCUGGUAUGCCCUUGGACAGUUCUUCUCUGACAUUCUGGUGCCAUUAAUUAAGACAUCACAACUCUGGGUGGACUCUCAGAGUUUUCAUCAGGCUCAGCAAGUCUUUCCCACCUCUAAGAGUUAAUGUUUGUAAUCUUGUCCUACAGCAGACAAAGUGUGGUCAAUCUGUCAGAGGGAGAGAAAAGAUUUCUUCUUGCAGCCCCUGGAAGAGACCUGGCAGGUCUCUCCAUGAACCAUCAAGUCAAAAGAUAUUGAUUGCUUCCAUCUUGUGAGGAGCCUUUCCUGCCCAGUGGAGAUGUCACCUCUCUUUCCUGUUCAUAUGAGUCCAAAAAAACUCUUGGUUUUUCUCCAGCCUGAAAGAAGUAGGAGUGUCCCAGUUAAAGGACAACUGCUUCAGUCCUUUGCUGCUUUUCCUCUACCACCUUGGUCAAAAAGGAGAAUGUCCCUGUCAGCUGCAUGGCUCCCAGAGGAGCCUGAGCUGUCCUGGGUACUGGCAAUUUGGGAAGCCAGUGGAUAUACAUCAAUAUUCACCUCCUCUUCUCUAUGGACUGCAGCAUAGACACUGUGUGACACUGAAUUGGACUGGAAAGAAAAAGUCAAAAUGGACAUUACUUCUUGUUGGAAAUGUCUGUUUUCAUCCAGGGACACAUCUAGGCAGGGAAGGUUUUACUUUACUCUUGGAUUUUACUGAAGCUGCAAUAGUCAGUUCUCCCCAUUACUUGAGGAGCUGCAGCAUGAGUCUGUUACAGAUCCUGACUUUCACAGUGUAGAUGGAUGAGGUCAUGGAGAAAAAUGCAUGAUUAUUUUACUUGAAUAGUUUAAAU